CGCGUAGGCGGCGGCAUAAGUCAGAAGUGAAAGUUGGCAGCUUAACUGCAAAAUUGCUUUUGAUACUGUGUUGCUUGAAUCACGUUGAGGCUGGCGGAAUGUGGCAUGUAGCGGUGAAAUGCUUAGAUAUGCCAUAGAACACCAAUUGCGAAGGCAGCUGGCUAGACGUGUAUUGACGCUGAGGCACGAAAGCGUGGGGAGCGAACAGGAUUAGAUACCCUGGUAGUCC
Molecule: ribosomal RNA, 229 nt
Filed under: uncultured bacterium
Lineage: Bacteria
Description: partial 16S ribosomal RNA
Rfam family: Bacterial small subunit ribosomal RNA
Source: RNAcentral